CAUUGCUGGACCAUUUGUUCGUUUCUAAUUGUUAUAAAUCACUUUUUAAACCAGCAUGAUCUGAUUAAAUUAUUGUCCUAAUUUUGCAGACAAUUUUUAUAUCUUAACAUUUUAUUUUAGUAUGUUUAUUUGAUUUUUUAUAUCCCGUUACUCAAGUCGAUCUAUACUAAACCGCAGAAGAAACGUCGCAGUAAUUUAAGGCAAACAAAAUGAAAGAAUAAAUGCUAUUUUUUUUUAUUGAAUUGGCGUAACAAUACCCUUUUUAUUUAUCAAAUUCACAUCUUUUCAGUUCAUUCACUGUUCAUGGAUACAGUUUUCCACCACCAUAUCACAGAUUUAAUUAAUUCAGGCGUUGAGUACGUGAACGGGUAUUUGUACUGUUUGCUGCAUUGUGGCGUUCACGUAGAAUUUGGAUGGUGCGAACAUUGAAGUUAAAUGCAUUUGCAACGACUUGAUGUCGCUGUCCGGCAUUCAGACGUCAUAUUGCCUGUUUUUUUUGUCGUGGAUUAAGUCGUGGCAUCAGUACUGCAUCAAACAGAUUAUGAUGACACAAAAACUUCGCACCUCUAAAACACCCUUGUAGAGGCACGGAUUCAACGUGCAUCUUAUAAAUUAUCAUCAUGAAAUCUGACUGCAAAACGUGUCCCACGGACCCAGCGAAACCACUUUUAAAACGCCCGAAUUAAUGAACGCAGUCAGCCGUAUCGGAGAUUUAAACACAAUCCUAGCAUCAUUUGAAGGUAAUUUAAAUAAACCAAAAUAAAUAAAUAUUAUUUUUCAAUGCAUUUGAAAAUUUGAGUUUUCGAAAAAUAUGAC
Molecule: long non-coding RNA, 816 nt
Filed under: Mytilus galloprovincialis (Mediterranean mussel)
Lineage: Eukaryota; Metazoa; Mollusca; Bivalvia; Mytilida; Mytilidae
Source: RNAcentral